This is a non-coding RNA of Xyrichtys novacula (pearly razorfish), 30827 nucleotides long. NCBI's taxonomy places the organism in Eukaryota, Metazoa, Chordata, Actinopteri, Labriformes, Labridae. The record is from the annotation of a GenBank genome assembly.
CCCCAACACCCCAAAUAUAUUUUUUUUCAUUUUUCAUUUUUAUUUGGUCUAACUAACUCCAAAAGGUUGGAAAAGAGAUCCUACAAAGGUUUUGGACAGUGAUUUUAACCCUAACGCCAAAAACCUUAAACCUUACCCUAGCCCCAACUCUUAAUACCCGGGUAUUACCUUCAGGAAGCCCAAACACCCCAAAUAUAUUUUUUUUCAUUUUUCAUUUUUAUUUGGUCUAACUAACUCCAAAAGGUUGGAAAAGAGAUCCUACAAAGGUUUUGGACAGUGAUUUUAACCCUAACGCCAAAAACCUUAAACCUUACCAUAGCCCCAAAACUUAUACCCGGGUAUUACCUUCAGGAAGCCUGAACACCCCAAAUAUAUUUUUUUUAUUUUUUUAUUUUAUUUGGUGUAACCAACUCCAAAAGGUCUGAAACAUGUUCCUAAAUAGGUUUUGGACAGUGAUUUUAACCCUAACGCCAAAAACCUUAAACCUUACCCUAGCCCCAAAACCUAAUACCUGGGUAUUACCUUCAGGAAGCCCAAACACCCCAAAUAUUUUUUUUUCAUUAUUCAUUUUUAUUUGGUCUAACUAACUCCAAAAGGUUGGAAAAGAGUUCCUACAAAGGUUUUGGACAGUGAUUUUAACCCUAACGCCAAAACCUUAAACCUUACCCUAGCCCCAAUUCUUAAUACCCGGGUAUUACCUUCAGGAAGCCCUAACACCCCAAAUAUAAAUAUAUUUUUUUAAAUUUUUUUUGGUCUAACUAUCUCCAAAAGGUUGGAAAAGAGUUACUGCAAAGGUUUUGGACAGUCAUUUUAACCGCAACGCCAAAAACCUUAAAACUUCCCCUAGCCCCAAAACCUAAUAUUAUUAAAGUAUUACCUUCAGGAAGCCCGAAAACCCCAAAUAUUUUUUUUUUCAUUUUUUGUUUUUUUCGGUCUAACUAACUCCAAAAUGGUUGUAAAAUUUUUACUACAAAGGUUUUGGACAGUGUUUUUAACCCUAACGCCAAAAACCUUAAACCUUCCCUUAGCCCCUAAACCUAAUACCUGGGUAUUACCUUCAGGAAGCCCGAACACCCCAAAUAUUUAUUUUUUAUUUUUUAUUUUUAUUUGGUGUAACCAACUCCAAAAGGUCUGAAACAUGUUCCUAAAUAGGUUUUGGACAGUGAUUUUAACCCUAACGCCAAAAACCUUAAACCUUACCCUAGCCCCAAAACCUAAUAGUAUUACCUUCAGGAAGCCCGAAAACCCCAAAUAUUUCUUUUUCAUUUUUCAUUUCUUUUUGGUCUAACUAACUCCAAAAGGUUGGAAAAGAGUUCCUACAAAGGUUUUGGACAGUGAUUUUAACCCUAACGCCAAAAACCUUAAACCUUACCCUAGCCACAAAACCUAAUACCCAUGUAUUAUCUUCAGGAAGCCCGAACACCACAAAUAUUUUUUUUUCAUUUUUCAUUUCUUUUUGGUCAAACUAACUCCAAAAGCUUGGAAAAGAGUUCCUACAAAGGUUUUGGACAGUGAUUUUAACCCUAACGCCAAAAACCUUAAACCUUACCCUAGCCCCAAAACCUAAUACCCGGGUAUUACCUUCAGGAAGCCCGAACACCCCAAAUAUAUUUUUUUUAUUUUUUAUUUUUAUUUGGUGUAACCAACUCCAAAAGGUCUGAAACAUGUUCCUAAAUAGGUUUUGGACAGUGAUUUUAACCCUAACGCCAAAAACCUUAAACCUUCCCCUAGCCCCAAAACCUAAUACCCGGGUAUUACCUUCAGGAAUCCCUAAAAACCCCAAAUAUUUUUUUUUCAUUUUUCAUUUCUUUUUGGUCUAACUAACUCCCAAAGCUUGGAAAAUAGUUCCUACAAAGGUUUUGGACAGUGAUUUUAACCCUAACGCCAAAAACCUUAAACCUUACCCUAGCCCCAAAACCUAAUACCCGUGCAUUAUCUUCAGGAAGCCAAAACAAGCCAAAUAUUUUUUUUUCAUUUUUCAUUUUUAUUUGGUCUAACUAACUCCAAAUGGUUGGAAAAGAGUUCCUACAAAGGUUUUGGACAGUGAUUUUAACCCUAACGCCAAAAACCUUAAACCUUUCCCUAGCCCCAAAACCUAAUACCCGUGUAUUAUCUUCAGGAAGCCCGAACACCACAAAUAUUUUUUUUUCAUUUUUCAUUUCUUUUUGGUCUAACUAACUCCAAAAGGUUGGAAAAGAGUUCCUACAAACGUUUUGGACAGUGAUUUAAACCCUAACGCCAAAACCUUAAACCUUACCCUAGCCCCAACUCUUAAUACCCGGGUAUUACCUUCAGGAAGCCCAAACACCCCAAAUAUAUUUUUUUUCAUUUUUCAUUUUUAUUUGGUCUAACUAACUCCAAAAGCUUGGAAAACAGUUCCUACAAAGGUUUUGGACAGUGAUUUAAACCCUAACGCCAAAACCUUAAACCUUACCCUAGCCCCAACUCUUAAUACCCGGGUAUUACCUUCAGGAAGCCCAAACACCCCAAAUAUUUUUUUAUUUUUUUUUAUUUUUAUUUGGUGUAACCAACUCCAAAAGGUCUGAAACAUGUUCCUAAAUAGGUUUUGGACAGUCAUUUUAACCCUAACGCCAAAAACCUUAAACCUUACCCUAGCCCCAAAACCUAAUAUUAUUAAAGUAUUACCUUCAGGAAGCCCGAAAACCCCAAAUAUUUUUUUUUUUCAUCUUUCUUUUUUUUUGGUCUAACUAACUCCCAAAGCUUGGAAAAUAGUUCCUACAAAGGUUUUGGACAGUGAUUUUAACCCUAAUGCCAAAAACCUUAAACCUUACCCUAGCCCCAACUCUUAAUACCCGGGUAUUACCUUCAGGAAGCCCAAACACCCCAAAUAUUUUUUUUUCAUUUUUCAUUUUUAUUUGGUCUAACUAACUCCAAAAGGUUGGAAAACAGUUCCUACAAAGGUUUUGGACAGUGAUUUUAACCCUAACGCCAAAACCUUAAACCUUACCCUAGCCCCAAUUCUUAAUACCCGGGUAUUACCUUCAGGAAGCCCUAACACCCCAAAUAUAAAUAUAUUUUUUUAAAUUUUUUUUGGUCUAACUAUCUCCAAAAGGUUGGAAAAGAGUUACUACAAAGGUUUUGGACAGUCAUUUUAACCGCAACGCCAAAAAACCUUAAAACUUCCCCUAGCCCCAAAACCUAAUAUUAUGCAAGUAUUACCUUCAGGAAGCCCGAAAACCCCAAAUAUUUUUUUUUUCAUUUUUUGUUUUUUUCGGUCUAACUAACUCCAAAAUGUUGGAAAAGAGUUACUACAAAGGUUUUGGACAGUGAUUUUAACCCUAACGCCAAAAACCUUAAACCUUCCCUUAGCCCCUAAACCUAAUACCUGGGUAUUACCUUCAGGAAGCCAGAACACCCCAAAUAUAUAUAUAUAUUUUUUCAUUUUUCAUUUGGUCUAACUAACUCCCAAAGGGUUGGAAAAGAGUUCCUACAAAGGUUUUGGACAGUGAUUUUAACCCUAACGCCAAAAAAACCUAAACCUUACCAUAGCCCCAAAACCUAAUUCCCGGGUAUUACCUUCAGGAAGCCCGAACCCCCUAAAUAUAUAUUUUUUUAUUUUUCAUUUGUUUUUGGUCUAACUAACUUCAAAAGGUUGGAAAAGAGUUCCUACAAAGGUUUUGGACAGUGUUUUUAACCCUAAUGCCAAAAACCUUAAACCUUACCCUAGCCCCAAAACCUAGUAGUAUUACCUUCAGGAAGCCCGAAAACCCCAAAUUCUUCUUUUUCAUUUUUCAUUUUUUUUGGUCUAACUAACUCCAAAAGGUUGGAAAAGAGUUCCUACAAAGGUUUUGGACAGUGAUUUUAACCCUAACGCCAAAAACCUUAAACCUUUCCCUAGCCACAAAACCUAAUACCCGUGUAUUAUCUUCAGGAAGCCCGAACACCACAAAUAUUUUUUUUUCAUUUUUCAUUUUUUUUGGUCUUACUAACUCCAAAAGGUUAGAAGAGUUCCUACAAACGUUUUGGACAGUGAUUUAAACCCUAACACCAAAACCUUAGACCUUACCCCAGCCCCAAAUCUUAAUACCCGGGUAUUACCUUCAGGAAGCCCGAACACCCCAAAUAUUUUUUUUUCAUUUUUCAUUUUUAUUUGGUCUAACUAACUCCAAAUGGUUGGAAAAGAGUUCCUACAAAGGUUUUGGACAGUGAUUUUAACCCUAACGCCAAAAACCUUAAACCUUUCCCUAGCCCCAAAACCUAAUACCCGUGUAUUAUCUUCAGGAAGCCCGAACACCACAAAUAUAUUUUUUUUCAUUUUUCAUUUCUUUUUGGUCUAACUAACUCCAAAAGCUUGGAAAAUAGUUCCUACAAAGGUUUUGGACAGUGAUUUAAACCCUGACGCCAAAACCUUAAACCUUACCCUAGCCCCAAAUCUUAAUACCUGGGUAUUACCUUCAGGAAGCCCAAACACCCCAAAUAUUUUUUUUUCAUUUUUCUUUUUUUUUGGUCUAACUAACUCCAAAAGGUUGGAAAAGAGUUACUACAAAGGUUUUGGACAGUGAUUUAAACCCUAACGCCAAAACCUUAAACCUUACCCUAGCCCCAAGUCUUAAUACCCGGGUAUUACCUUCAGGAAGCCCCAACACCCCAAAUAUAUUUUUUUCAUUUUUCAUUUUUAUUUGGUCUAACUAACUCCAAAAGGUUGGAAAAGAGAUCCUACAAAGGUUUUGGACAGUGAUUUUAACCCUAACGCCAAAAACCUUAAACCUUACCCUAGCCCCAACUCUUAAUACCCGGGUAUUACCUUCAGGAAGCCCAAACACCCCAAAUAUAUAUAUUUUUUCAUUUUUCAUUUUUAUUUGGUCUAACUAACUCCAAAAGGUUGGAAAAGAGAUCCUACAAAGGUUUUGGACAGUGAUUUUAACCCUAACGCCAAAAACCUUAAACCUUACCAUAGCCCCAAAACUUAUACCCGGGUAUUACCUUCAGGAAGCCUGAACACCCCAAAUAUAUUUUUUUAAUUUUUUUAUUUUAUUUGGUGUAACCAACUCCAAAAGGUCUGAAACAUGUUCCUAAAUAGGUUUUGGACAGUCAUUUUAACCCUAACGCCAAAAACCUUAAACCUUACCCUAGCCCCAAAACCUAAUACCUGGGUAUUACCUUCAGGAAGCCCAAACACCCCAAAUAUUUUUUUUUCAUUAUUCAUUUUUAUUUGGUCUAACUAACUCCAAAAGGUUGGAAAAGAGUUCCUACAAAGGUUUUGGACAGUGAUUUUAACCCUAACGCCAAAACCUUAAACCUUACCCUAGCCCCAAUUCUUAAUACCCGGGUAUUACCUUCAGGAAGCCCUAACACCCCAAAUAUAAAUAUAUUUUUUUAAAUUUUUUUUGGUCUAACUAUCUCCAAAAGGUUGGAAAAGAGUUACUGCAAAGGUUUUGGACAGUCAUUUUAACCGCAACGCCAAAAAACCUUAAAACUUCCCCUAGCCCCAAAACCUAAUAUUAUUAAAGUAUUACCUUCAGGAAGCCCGAAAACCCCAAAUAUUUUUUUUUUCAUUUUUUGUUUUUUUCGGUCUAACUAACUCCAAAAUGUUGGAAAAGAGUUACUACAAAGGUUUUGGACAGUGAUUUUAACCCUAACGCCAAAAACCUUAAACCUUCCCUUAGCCCCUAAACCUAAUACCUGGGUAUUACCUUCAGGAAGCCCGAACACCCCAAAUAUUUAUUUUUUAUUUUUUAUUUUUAUUUGGUGUAACCAACUCCAAAAGGUCUGAAACAUGUUCCUAAAUAGGUUUUGGACAGUGAUUUUAACCCUAACGCCAAAAACCUUAAACCUUACCCUAGCCCCAAAACCUAAUAGUAUUACCUUCAGGAAGCCCGAAAACCCCAAAUAUUUCUUUUUCAUUUUUCAUUUUUUUUGGUCUAACUAACUCCAAAAGGUUGGAAAAGAGUUCCUACAAAGGUUUUGGACAGUGAUUUUAACCCUAACGCCAAAAACCUUAAACCUUUCCCUAGCCACAAAACCUAAUACCCAUGUAUUAUCUUCAGGAAGCCCGAACACCACAAAUAUUUUUUUUUCAUUUUUCAUUUCUUUUUGGUCAAACUAACUCCAAAAGCUUGGAAAAGAGUUCCUACAAAGGUUUUGGACAGUGAUUUUAACCCUAACGCCAAAAACCUUAAACCUUACCAUAGCCCCAAAACUUAUACCCGGGUAUUACCUUCAGGAAGCCCGAACACCCCAAAUAUAUUUUUUUUAUUUUUUAUUUUUAUUUGGUGUAACCAACUCCAAAAGGUCUGAAACAUGUUCCUAAAUAGGUUUUGGACAGUCAUUUUAACCCUAACGCCAAAAACCUUAAACCUUCCCCUAGCCCCAAAACCUAAUACCCGGGUAUUACCUUCAGGAAUCCCUAAAAACCCCAAAUAUUUUUUUUUCAUUUUUCAUUUCUUUUUGGUCUAACUAACUCCCAAAGCUUGGAAAAUAGUUCCUACAAAGGUUUUGGACAGUGAUUUUAACCCUAACGCCAAAAACCUUAAACCUUACCCUAGCCCCAAAACCUAAUACCCGUGCAUUAUCUUCAGGAAGCCAAAACAAGCCAAAUAUUUUUUUUUCAUUUUUCAUUUUUAUUUGGUCUAACUAACUCCAAAUGGUUGGAAAAGAGUUCCUACAAAGGUUUUGGACAGUGAUUUUAACCCUAACGCCAAAAACCUUAAACCUUUCCCUAGCCCCAAAACCUAAUACCCGUGUAUUAUCUUCAGGAAGCCCGAACACCACAAAUAUUUUUUUUUCAUUUUUCAUUUCUUUUUGGUCUAACUAACUCCAACAGGUUGGAAAACAGUUCCUACAAACGUUUUGGACAGUGAUUUAAACCCUAACGCCAAAACCUUAAACCUUACCCUAGCCCCAACUCUUAAUACCCGGGUAUUACCUUCAGGAAGCCCAAACACCCCAAAUAUUUUUUUUUCAUUUUUCAUUUUUAUUUGGUCUAACUAACUCCAAAAGGUUGGAAAACAGUUCCUACAAAGGUUUUGGACAGUGAUUUAAACCCUAACGCCAAAACCUUAAACCUUACCCUAGCCCCAACUCUUAAUACCCGGGUAUUACCUUCAGGAAGCCCAAACACCCCAAAUAUAUUUUUUUUCAUUUUUCAUUUUUAUUUGGUCUAACUAACUCCAAAAGCUUGGAAAACAGUUCCUACAAAGGUUUUGGACAGUGAUUUUAACCCUAACGCCAAAACCUUAAACCUUGCCCUAGCCCCAACUCUUAAUACCCGGGUAUUACCUUCAGGAAGCCCAAACACCCCAAAUAUUUUUUUAUUUUUUUUUAUUUUUAUUUGGUGUAACCAACUCCAAAAGGUCUGAAACAUGUUCCUAAAUAGGUUUUGGACAGUCAUUUUAACCCUAACGCCCAAAACCUUAAACCUUACCCUAGCCCCAAAACCUAAUAUUAUUAAAGUAUUACCUUCAGGAAGCCCGAAAACCCCAAAUAUUUUUUUUUUCAUCUUUCUUUUUUUUUUGUCUAACUAACUCCAAAAGGUUGGAAAAGAGGUACUACAAAGGUUUUGGACAGUGAUUUAAACCCUAACGCCAAAACCUUAAACCUUACCCUAGCCCCAACUCUUAAUACCCGGGUAUUACCUUCAGGAAGCCCAAACACCCCAAAUAUAUAUUUUUUCAUUUUUCAUUUUUAUUUGGUCUAACUAACUCCAAAAGGUUGGAAAAGAGUUCCUACAAAGGUUUUGGACAGUGAUUUUAACCCUAACGCCAAAAACCUUAAACCUUACCAUAGCCCCAAAACGUAUACCCGGGUAUUACCUUCAGGAAGCCCGAACACCCCAAAUAUAUAUAUUUUUUUUUUAUUUUUAUUUGGUGUAACCAACUCCAAAAGGUCUGAAACAUGUUCCUAAAUAGGUUUUGGACAGUCAUUUUAACCCUAACGCCAAAAAAUCUUAAACCUUACCCUAGCCCCAAAACCUAAUAGUAUUACCUUCAGGAAGCCCGAAAACCCCAAAUAUUUUUUUUUCAUUUUUCUUUUUUUUUGGUCUAACUAACUCCAAAAGCUUGGAAAAGAGAUCCUACAAAGGUUUUGGACAGUGAUUUUAACCCUAACGCCAAAAACUUUCAACCUUUCCCUAGCCCCAUAACCUAAUACCCGGGUAUUACCUUCAGGAAGCCCGAACACCCCAAAUAUUUUUUUUUCAUUUUUCUUUUUUUUUUGGUCUAACUAACUCCAAAAGCUUGGAAAAGAGAUCCUACAAAGGUUUUGGACAGUGAUUUUAACCCUAACGCCAAAAACCUUAAACCUUACCAUAGCCCCAAAACCUAAUACCCGUGCAUUAUCUUCAGGAAGCCAAAACAAGCCAAAUAUUGUUUUUUUUUCAUUUUUAUUUGGUCUAACUAACUCCAAAAGGUUGGAAAACAGUUCCUACAAAGGUUUUGGACAGUGAUUUAAACCCUAACGCCAAAACCUUAAACCUUACCCUAGCCCCAACUCUUAAUACCCGGGUAUUACCUUCAGGAAGCCCAAACACCCCAAAUAUAUAUUUUUUCAUUUUUCAUUUUUAUUUGGUCUAACUAACUCCAAAAGGUUGGAAAAGAGUUCCUACAAAGGUUUUGGACAGUGAUUUAAACCCUAACGCCAAAACCUUAAACCUUACCCUAGCCCCAACUCUUAAUACCCGGGUAUUACCUUCAGGAAGCCCAAACACCCCAAAUAUAUUUUUUUUAUUUUUUAUUUUUAUUUGGUGUAACCAACUCCAAAAGGUCUGAAACAUGUUCCUAAAUAGGUUUUGGACAGUCAUUUUAACCCUAACGCCAAAAACCUUAAACCUUACCCUAGCCCCAAAACCUAAUAGUAUUACCUUCAGGAAGCCCGAAAACCCCAAAUAUUUUUUUUUCAUUUUUCUUUUUUUUUGGUCUAACUAACUCCAAAAGCUUGGAAAAGAGAUCCUACAAAGGUUUUGGACAGUGAUUUUAACCCUAACGCCAAAAACUUUAAACCUUUCCCUAGCCCCAUAACCGAAUACCCGGGUAUUACCUUCAGGAAGCCUGAACACCCCAAAUAUUUUUUUUUCAUUUUUCUUUUUUUUUGGUCUAACUAACUCCAAAAGCUUGGAAAAGAGAUCCUACAAAGGUUUUGGACAGUGAUUUUAACCCUAACGCCAAAAACCUUAAACCUUACCAUAGCCCCAUAACCUAAUACCCGUGCAUUAUCUUCAGGAAGCCAAAACAAGCCAAAUAUUGUUUUUUUUCAUUUUUAUUUGGUCUAACUAACUCCAAAAGGUUGGAAAACAGUUCCUACAAAGGUUUUGGACAGUGAUUUAAACCCUAACGCCAAAACCUUAAACCUUACCCUAGCCCCAACUCUUAAUACCCGGGUAUUACCUUCAGGAAGCCCAAACACCCCAAAUAUAUAUUUUUUCAUUUUUCAUUUUUAUUUGGUCUAACUAACUCCAAAAGGUUGGAAAACAGUUCCUACAAAGGUUUUGGACAGUGAUUUAAACCCUAACGCCAAAACCUUAAACCUUACCCUAGCCCCAACUCUUAAUACCCGGGUAUUACCUUCAGGAAGCCCAAACACCCCAAAUAUAUUUUUUUUCAUUUUUCAUUUUUAUUUGGUCUAACUAACUCCAAAAGGUUGGAAAAGAGUUCCUACAAAGGUUUUGGACAGUGAUUUAAACCCUAACGCCAAAAACGUUAAACCUUACCAUAGCCCCAAAACUUAUACCCGGGUAUUACCUUCAGGAAGCCCAAACACCCCAAAUAUUUUUUUUUUUCAUUUUUCUUUUUUUUUGGUCUAACUAACUCCAAAAGGUUGGAAAAGAGUUCCUACAAAUGUUUUGGACAGUGAUUUAAACCCUAACGCCAAAACCUUUAACCUUACCCUAGCCCCAAAUCUUAAUACCCGGGUAUUACCUUCAGGAAGCCCAAACACCCCAAAUAUAUUUUUUUUCAUUUUUCAUUUUUAUUUGGUGUAACUAACUCCAAAAGGUUGGAAAAGAGUUCCUACAAAGGUUUUGGACAGUGAUUUUAACCCUAACGCCAAAAACCUUAAACCUUACCAUAGCCCCAAAACUUAUACCCGGGUAUUACCUUCAGGAAGCCCGAACACCCCAAAUAUUCUUUUUUCCUUUUUUUCUUUUUUUUUGGUCUAACUAACUCCAAAAGCUUGGAAAAGAGAUCCUACAAAGGUUUUGGACAGUCAUUUUAACCCUAACGCCAAAAACCUUAAACCUUCCCCUAGCCCCAAAACCUAAUACCCGGGUAUUACCUUCAGGAAGCCCGAACACCCCAAAUAUUUUUUUUUCAUUUUUCUUUUUUUUUGGUCCAACUAACUCCAAAAGCUUGGAAAAGAGAUCCUACAAAGGUUUUGGACAGGGAUUUAAACCCUAACGCCAAAACCUUAAACCUUACCCUAGCCCCAACUCUUAAUACCCGGGUAUUACCUUCAGGAAGCCCAAACACCCCAAAUAUAUUUUUUUUCAUUUUUCAUUUUUAUUUGGUCUAACUAACUCCAAAAGGUUGGAAAAGAGUUCCUACAAAGGUUUUGGACAGUGAUUUAAACCCUAACGCCAAAAACGUUAAACCUUACCAUUGCCCCAAAACUUAUACCCGGGUAUUACCUUCAGGAAGCCCAAACACCCCAAAUAUUUUUUUUUUCAUUUUUCUUUUUUUUUGGUCUAACUAACUCCAAAAGGUUGGAAAAGAGUUACUACAAAGGUUUUGGACAGUGAUUUAAACCCUAACGCCAAAACCUUUAACCUUACCCUAGCCCCAACUCUUAAUACCCGGGUAUUACCUUCAGGAAGCCCAAACACCCCAAAUAUAUUUUUUUUCAUUUUUCAUUUUUAUUUGGUGUAACUAACUCCAAAAGGUUGGAAAAGAGUUCCUACAAAGGUUUUGGACAGUGAUUUUAACCCUAACGCCAAAAACCUUAAACCUUACCAUAGCCCCAAAACUUAUACCCGGGUAUUACCUUCAGGAAGCCCGAACACCCCAAAUAUUUUUUUUUCAUUUUUCUUUUUUUUUGGUCUAAAUAACUCCAAAAGCUUGGAAAAGAGAUCCUACAAAGGUUUUGGACAGUCAUUUUAACCCUAACGCCAAAAACCUUAAACCUUACCCUAGCCCCAACUCUUAAUACCCGGGUAUUACCUCCAGGAAGCCCAAACACCCCAAAUAUUUUUUUUUCAUUUUUCUUUUUUUUUGGUCUAACUAACUCCAAAAGCUUGGAAAAGAGAUCCUACAAAGGUUUUGGACAGUGAUUUUAACCCUAACGCCAAAAACCUUAAACCUUACCAUAGCCCCAUAACCUAAUACCCGUGCAUUAUCUUCAGGAAGCCAAAACAAGCCAAAUAUUGUUUUUUUCAUUUUUAUUUGGUCUAACUAACUCCAAAAGGUUGGAAAAGAGUUCCUACAAACGUUUUGGACAGUGAUUUAAACCCUAACGCCAAAACCUUUAACCUUACCCUAGCCCCAAAUCUUAAUACCCCGGUAUUACCUUCAGGAAGCCCAAACACCCCAAAUAUUUUUUUUUUCAUUUUUCAUUUUUAUUUGGUCUAACUAACUCCCAAAGGUUGGAAAACAGUUCCUACAAAGGUUUUGGACAGUGAUUUUAACCCUAACGCCAAAAACCUUAAACCUUUUCCUAGCCCCAAAACUUAAUACCCGUGUAUUAUCUUCAGGAAGCCCGAACACCACAAAUAUUUUUUUUUCAUUUUUCAUUUCUUUUUGGUCUAACUAACUCCAAAAGGUUGGAAACGAGUUCCUACAAACGUUUUGGACAGUGAUUUAAACCCUAACGCCAAAACCUUAAACCUUACCCUAGCCCCAAAUCUUAAUACCCGGGUAUUACCUUCAGGAAGCCCAAACACCCCAAAUAUUUUUUUUUCAUUUUUCAUUUUUAUUUGGUCUAACUAACUCUAAAAGGUUGGAAAACAGUUCCUACAAAGGUUUUGGACAGUGAUUUAAACCCUAACGCCAAAACCUUAAACCUUACCCUAGCCCCAACUCUUAAUACCCGGGUAUUACCUUCAGGAAGCCCAAACACCCCAAAUAUAUUUUUUUUCAUUUUUCAUUUUUAUUUGGUCUAACUAACUCCAAAAGGUUGAAAAACAGUUCCUACAAAGGUUUUGGACAGUGAUUUAAACCCUAACGCCAAAACCUUAAACCUUACCCUAGCCCCAACUCUUAAUACCCGGGUAUUAUCUUCAGGAAGCCAAAACACCCCAAAUAUUUUUUUUUUAUUUUUUAUUUUUAUUUGGUGUAACCAACUCCAAAAGGUCUGAAACAUGUUCCUAAAUAGGUUUUGGACAGUGAUUUUAACCCUAACGCCAAAAACCUUAAACCUUACCCUAGCCCCAAAACCUAAUAGUAUUACCUUCAGGAAGCCCGAAAACCCCAAAUAUUUCUUUUUCAUUUUUCAUUUUUUUUGGUCUAACUAACUCCAAAAGGUUGGAAAAGAGUUCCUACAAAGGUUUUGGACAGUGAUUUUAACCCUAACGCCAAAAACCUUAAACCUUUCCCUAGCCACAAAACCUAAUACCCAUGUAUUAUCUUCAGGAAGCCCGAACACCACAAAUAUUUUUUUUUCAUUUUUCAUUUCUUUUUGGUCAAACUAACUCCAAAAGCUUGGAAAAGAGUUCCUACAAAGGUUUUGGACAGUGAUUUUAACCCUAACGCCAAAAACCUUAAACCUUACCAUAGCCCCAAAACUUAUACCCGGGUAUUACCUUCAGGAAGCCCGAACACCCCAAAUAUAUUUUUUUUAUUUUUUAUUUUUAUUUGGUGUAACCAACUCCAAAAGGUCUGAAACAUGUUCCUAAAUAGGUUUUGGACAGUCAUUUUAACCCUAACGCCAAAAACCUUAAACCUUCCCCUAGCCCCAAAACCUAAUACCCGGGUAUUACCUUCAGGAAUCCCUAAAAACCCCAAAUAUUUUUUUUUCAUUUUUCAUUUCUUUUUGGUCUAACUAACUCCCAAAGCUUGGAAAAUAGUUCCUACAAAGGUUUUGGACAGUGAUUUUAACCCUAACGCCAAAAACCUUAAACCUUACCCUAGCCCCAAAACCUAAUACCCGUGCAUUAUCUUCAGGAAGCCAAAACAAGCCAAAUAUUUUUUUUUCAUUUUUCAUUUUUAUUUGGUCUAACUAACUCCAAAUGGUUGGAAAAGAGUUCCUACAAAGGUUUUGGACAGUGAUUUUAACCCUAACGCCAAAAACCUUAAACCUUAGCCCCAAAACCUAAUACCCGUGUAUUAUCCUUCAGGAAGCCCGAACACCACAAAUAUUUUUUUUUCAUUUUUCAUUUCUUUUUGGUCUAACUAACUCCAACAGGUUGGAAAACAGUUCCUACAAACGUUUUGGACAGUGAUUUAAACCCUAACGCCAAAACCUUAAACCUUACCCUAGCCCCAACUCUUAAUACCCGGGUAUUACCUUCAGGAAGCCCAAACACCCCAAAUAUUUUUUUUUCAUUUUUCAUUUUUAUUUGGUCUAACUAACUCCAAAAGGUUGGAAAACAGUUCCUACAAAGGUUUUGGACAGUGAUUUAAACCCUAACGCCAAAACCUUAAACCUUACCCUAGCCCCAACUCUUAAUACCCGGGUAUUACCUUCAGGAAGCCCAAACACCCCAAAUAUAUUUUUUUUCAUUUUUCAUUUUUAUUUGGUCUAACUAACUCCAAAAGCUUGGAAAACAGUUCCUACAAAGGUUUUGGACAGUGAUUUAAACCCUAACGCCAAAACCUUAAACCUUACCCUAGCCCCAACUCUUAAUACCCGGGUAUUACCUUCAGGAAGCCCAAACACCCCAAAUAUUUUUUUAUUUUUUUUUAUUUUUAUUUGGUGUAACCAACUCCAAAAGGUCUGAAACAUGUUCCUAAAUAGGUUUUGGACAGUCAUUUUAACCCUAACGCCCAAAACCUUAAACCUUACCCUAGCCCCAAAACCUAAUAUUAUUAAAGUAUUACCUUCAGGAAGCCCGAAAACCCCAAAUAUUUUUUUUUUUCAUCUUUCUUUUUUUUUAGUCUAACUAACUCCAAAAGGUUGGAAAAGAGUUACUACAAAGGUUUUGGACAGUGAUUUAAACCCUAACGCCAAAACCUUAAACCUUACCCUAGCCCCAACUCUUAAUACCCGGGUAUUACCUUCAGGAAGCCCAAACACCCCAAAUAUAUUUUUUUUCAUUUUUCAUUUUUAUUUGGUCUAACUAACUCCAAAAGGUUGGAAAAGAGUUCCUACAAAGGUUUUGGACAGUGAUUUUAACCCUAACGCCAAAAACCUUAAACCUUACCAUAGCCCCAAAACUUAUACCCGGGUAUUACCUUCAGGAAGCCCGAACACCCCAAAUAUAUUUUUUUUAUUUUUUAUUUUUAUUUGGUGUAACCAACUCCAAAAGGUCUGAAACAUGUUCCUAAAUAGGUUUUGGACAGUCAUUUUAACCCUAACGCCAAAAAAUCUUAAACCUUACCCUAGCCCCAAAACCUAAUAGUAUUACCUUCAGGAAGCCCGAAAACCCCAAAUAUUUUUUUUUCAUUUUUCUUUUUUUUUGGUCUAACUAACUCCAAAAGCUUGGAAAAGAGAUCCUACAAAGGUUUUGGACAGUGAUUUUAACCCUAACGCCAAAAACUUUAAACCUUUCCCUAGCCCCAUAACCUAAUACCCGGGUAUUACCUUCAGGAAGCCCGAACACCCCAAAUAUUUUUUUUUCAUUUUUCUUUUUUUUUGGUCUAACUAACUCCAAAAGCUUGGAAAAGAGAUCCUACAAAGGUUUUGGACAGUGAUUUUAACCCUAACGCCAAAAACCUUAAACCUUACCAUAGCCCCAAAACCUAAUACCCGUGCAUUAUCUUCAGGAAGCCAAAACAAGCCAAAUAUUGUUUUUUUUUCAUUUUUAUUUGGUCUAACUAACUCCAAAAGGUUGGAAAACAGUUCCUACAAAGGUUUUGGACAGUGAUUUAAACCCUAACGCCAAAACCUUAAACCUUACCCUAGCCCCAACUCUUAAUACCCGGGUAUUACCUUCAGGAAGCCCAAACACCCCAAAUAUAUAUUUUUUCAUUUUUCAUUUUUAUUUGGUCUAACUAACUCCAAAAGGUUGGAAAACAGUUCCUACAAAGGUUUUGGACAGUGAUUUUAACCCUAACGCCAAAAACCUUAAACCUUACCCUAGCCCCAACUCUUAAUACCCGGGUAUUACCUUCAGGAAGCCCAAACACCCCAAAUAUAUUUUUUUUAUUUUUUAUUUUUAUUUGGUGUAACCAACUCCAAAAGGUCUGAAACAUGUUCCUAAAUAGGUUUUGGACAGUCAUUUUAACCCUAACGCCAAAAACCUUAAACCUUACCCUAGCCCCAAAACCUAAUAGUAUUACCUUCAGGAAGCCCGAAAACCCCAAAUAUUUUUUUUUCAUUUUUCUUUUUUUUUGGUCUAACUAACUCCAAAAGCUUGGAAAAGAGAUCCUACAAAGGUUUUGGACAGUGAUUUUAACCCUAACGCCAAAAACUUUAAACCUUUCCCUAGCCCCAUAACCGAAUACCCGGGUAUUACCUUCAGGAAGCCCGAACACCCCAAAUAUUUUUUUUUCAUUUUUCUUUUUUUUUGGUCUAACUAACUCCAAAAGCUUGGAAAAGAGAUCCUACAAAAGGUUUUGGACAGUGAUUUUAACCCUAACGCCAAAAACCUUAAACCUUACCAUAGCCCCAAACCUAAUACCCGUGCAUUAUCUUCAGGAAGCCAAAACAAGCCAAAUAUUGUUUUUUUUUCAUUUUUAUUUGGUCUAACUAACUCCAAAAGGUUGGAAAACAGUUCCUACAAAGGUUUUGGACAGUGAUUUAAACCCUAACGCCAAAACCUUAAACCUUACCCUAGCCCCAACUCUUAAUACCCGGGUAUUACCUUCAGGAAGCCCAAACACCCCAAAUAUAUUUUUUUUCAUUUUUCAUUUUUAUUUGGUCUAACUAACUCCAAAAGGUUGGAAAAGAGUUCCUACAAAGGUUUUGGACAGUGAUUUAAACCCUAACGCCAAAAACGUUAAACCUUACCAUUGCCCCAAAACUUAUACCCGGGUAUUACCUUCAGGAAGCCCAAACACCCCAAAUAUUUUUUUUUUCAUUUUUCUUUUUUUUGGUCUAACUAACUCCAAAAGGUUGGAAAAGAGUUCCUACAAAGUUUUGGACAGUGAUUUAAACCCUAACGCCAAAACCUUAAACCUUACCCUAGCCCCAAAUCUUAAUACCCGGGUAUUACCUUCAGGAAGCCCAAACACCCCAAAUAUAUUUUUUUUCAUUUUUCAUUUUUAUUUGGUGUAACUAACUCCAAAAGGUUGGAAAAGAGUUCCUACAAAGGUUUUGGACAGUGAUUUUAACCCUAACGCCAAAAACCUUAAACCUUACCAUAGCCCCAAAACUUAUACCCGGGUAUUACCUUCAGGAAGCCCGAACACCCCAAAUAUUCUUUUUUCAUUUUUCUUUUUUUUUGGUCUAACUAACUCCAAAAGCUUGGAAAAGAGAUCCUACAAAGGUUUUGUACAGUCAUUUUAACCCUAACGCCAAAAACCUUAAACCUUCCCCUAGCCCCAAAACCUAAUACCCGGGUAUUACCUUCAGGAAGCCCGAACACCCCAAAUAUUUUUUUUUCAUUUUUCUUUUUUUUUGGUCCAACUAACUCCAAAAGCUUGGAAAAGAGAUCCUACAAAGGUUUAGGACAGUGAUUUUAACCCUAACGCCAAAAACUUUAAACCUUACCCUAGCCCCAACUCUUAAUACCCGGGUAUUACCUUCAGGAAGCCCAAACACCCCAAAUAUAUAUUUUUUCAUUUUUCAUUUUUAUUUGGUCUAACUAACUCCAAAAGGUUGGAAAAGAGUUCCUACAAAGGUUUUGGACAGUGAUUUAAACCCUAACGCCAAAAACGUUAAACCUUACCAUAGCCCCAAAACUUAUACCCGGGUAUUACCUUCAGGAAGCCCGAACACCCCAAAUAUUUUUUUUUCAUUUUUCUUUUUUUUUGGUCUAACUAACUCCAAAAGCUUGGAAAAGAGAUCCUACAAAGGUUUUGGACAGUCAUUUUAACCCUAACGCCAAAAACCUUAAACCUUACCCAAGCCCCAAAACCUAAUACCCGGGUAUUACCUUCAGGAAGCCCGAACACCCCAAAUAUUUUUUUUUCAUUUUUCUUUUUUUUUGGUCUAACUAACUCCAAAAGCUUGGAAAAGAGAUCCUACAAAGGUUUUGGACAGUGAUUUUAACCCUAACGCCAAAAACCUUAAACCUUACCAUAGCCCCAUAACCUAAUACCCGUGCAUUAUCUUCAGGAAGCCAAAACAAGCCAAAUAUUGUUUUUUUCAUUUUUAUUUGGUCUAACUAACUCCAAAAGGUUGGAAAACAGUUCCUACAAAGGUUUUGGACAGUGAUUUAAACCCUAACGCCAAAACCUUAAACCUUACCCUAGCCCCAACUCUUAAUACCCGGGUAUUACCUUCAGGAAGCCCAAACACCCCAAAUAUAUUUUUUUUCAUUUUUCAUUUUUAUUUGGUCUAACUAACUCCAAAAGGUUGGAAAACAGUUCCUACAAAGGUUUUGGACAGUGAUUUAAACCCUAACGCCAAAACCUUAAACCUUACCCUAGCCCCAAAUCUUAAUACCCGGGUAUUACCUUCAGGAAGCCCAAACACCCCAAAUAUUUUUUUUUCAUUUUUCAUUUUUAUUUGGUCUAACUAACUCCCAAAGGUUGGAAAAGAGAUCCUACAAAGGUUUUGGACAGUGAUUUUAACCCUAACGCCAAAACCUUAAACCUUACCCUAGCCCCAACUCUUAAUACCCGGGUAUUACCUUCAGGAAGCCCAAACACCCCAAAUAUAUUUUUUUUCAUUUUUCAUUUUUAUUUGGUGUAACUAACUCCAAAAGGUUGGAAAAGAGUUACUACAAAGGUUUUGGACAGUGAUUUUAACCCUAACGCCAAAAACCUUAAACCUUACCCCAGCCCCAUAACCUAAUACCCGGGUAUUACCUUCAGGAAGCCCAAACACCCCAAAUAUAUUUUUUUUCAUUUUUCAUUUUUAUUUGGUGUAACUAACUCCAAAAGGUUGGAAAAGAGUUCCUACAAAGGUUUUGGACAGUGAUUUUAACCCUAACGCCAAAAACCUUAAACCUUACCAUAGCCCCAAAACUUAUACCCGGGUAUUACCUUCAGGAAGCCCGAACACCCCAAAUAUUUUUUUUUCAUUUUUCAUUUCUUUUUGGUCUAACUAACUCCCAAAGCUUGGAAAAUAGUUCCUACAAAGGUUUUGGACAGUGAUUUUAACCCUAACGCCAAAAACCUUAAACCUUACCCUAGCCCCAAAACCUAAUACCCGUGCAUUAUCUUCAGGAAGCCAAAACAAGCCAAAUAUUUUUUUUUCAUUUUUCAUUUUUAUUUGGUCUAACUAACUCCAAAUGGUUGGAAAAGAGUUCCUACAAAGGUUUUGGACAGUGAUUUUAACCCUAACGCCAAAAACCUUAAACCUUUCCCUAGCCCCAAAACCUAAUACCCAUGUAUUAUCUUCAGGAAGCCCGAACACCACAAAUAUUUUUUUUUCAUUUUUCAUUUCUUUUUGGUCUAACUAACUCCAAAAGGUUGGAAAAGAGUUCCUACAAACGUUUUGGACAGUGAUUUAAACCCUAACGCCAAAACCUUAAACCUAACCCUAGCCCCAAAUCUUAAUACCCGGGUAUUACCUUCAGGAAGCCAAAACACCCCAAAUAUUUUUUUUUCAUUUUUCAUUUUUAUUUGGUCUAACUAACUCCAAAAGGUUGGAAAACAGUUCCUACAAAGGUUUUGGACAGUGAUUUUAACCCUAACGCCAAAAACCUUAAACCUUACCAUAGCCCCAAAACCUAAUACCCAUGUAUUAUCUUCAGGAAGCCCGAACACCACAAAUAUUUUUUUUUCAUUUUUCAUUUCUUUUUGGUCUAACUAACUCCAAAAGGUUGGAAAAGAGUUCCUACAAAGGUUUUGGACAGUGAUUUUAAACCUAACGCCAAAAACCUUAAACCUUACCAUAGCCCCAAAACUUAUACCCGGGUAUUACCUUCAGGAAGCCCGAACACCCCAAAUAUAUUUUUUUUAUUUUUUAUUUUUAUUUGGUGUAACCAACUCCAAAAGGUCUGAAACAUGUUCCUAAAUAGGUUUUGGACAGUCAUUUUAACCCUAACGCCAAAAACCUUAAACCUUCCCCUAGCCCCAAAACCUAAUACCCGGGUAUUACCUUCAGGAAUCCCGAAAACCCCAAAUAUUUUUUUUUCAUUUUUCAUUUCUUUUUGGUCUAACUAACUCCCAAAGCUUGGAAAAUAGUUCCUACAAAGGUUUUGGACAGUGAUUUUAACCCUAACGCCAAAAACCUUAAACCUUCCCCUAGCCCCAAAACCUAAUACCCGUGCAUUAUCUUCAGGAAGCCAAAACAAGCCAAAUAUUUUUUUUUCAUUUUUCAUUUUUUUUUGGUCUAACUAACUCCAAAAGGUUGGAAAAGAGUUCCUACAAACGUUUUGGACAGUGAUUUAAACCCUAACGCCAAAACCUUAAACCUUACCCUAGCCCCAAAUCUUAAUACCCGGGUAUUACCUUCAGGAAGCCCAAACACCCCAAAUAUUUUUUUUUUCAUUUUUCAUUUUUAUUUGGUCUAACUAACUCCCAAAGGUUGGAAAACAGUUCCUACAAAGGUUUUGGACAGUGAUUUAAACCCUAACGCCAAAACCUUAAACCUUACCCUAGCCCCAACUCUUAAUACCCGGGUAUUACCUUCAGGAAGCCCAAACACCCCAAAUAUAUUUUUUUUCAUUUUUCAUUUUUAUUUGGUCUAACUAACUCCAAAAGGUUGGAAAAGAGUUCCUACAAAGGUUUUGGACAGUGAUUUAAACCCUAACGCCAAAAACGUUAAACCUUACCAUAGCCCCAAAACUUAUACCCGGGUAUUACCUUCAGGAAGCCCAAACACCCCAAAUAUUUUUUUUUUUCAUUUUUCUUUUUUUUUGGUCUAACUAACUCCAAAAGGUUGGAAAAGAGUUACUACAAAGGUUUUGGACAGUGAUUUUAACCCUAACGCCAAAAACCUUAAACCUUACCCCAGCCCCAUAACCUAAUACCCGGGUAUUACCUUCAGGAAGCCCGAAAACCCCAAAUAUUUUUUUUUCAUUUUUCAUUAAUUUUUGGUCUAACUAACUCCAAAAGGUUGGAAAAGAGUUCCUACAAAUGUUUUGGACAGUGAUUUAAACCCUAACGCCAAAACCUUUAACCUUACCCUAGCCCCAACUCUUAAUACCCGGGUAUUACCUUCAGGAAGCCCAAACACCCCAAAUAUUUUUUUUUCAUUUUUCAUUAUUUUUUGGUCUAACUAACUCCAAAAGGUUGGAAAAGAGUUCCUACAAAUGUUUUGGACAGUGAUUUAAACCCUAACGCCAAAACCUUAAACCUUACCCUAGCCCCAACUUUUAAUACCCGGGUAUUACCUUCAGGAAGCCAAAACACCCCAAAUAUAUUUUUUUUCAUUUUUCAUUUUUAUUUGGUCUAACUAACUCCAAAAGCUUGGAAAACAGUUCCUACAAAGGUUUUGGACAGUGAUUUAAACCCUAACGCCAAAACCUUAAACCUUACCCUAGCCCCAACUCUUAAUACCCGGGUAUUACCUUCAGGAAGCCCAAACACCCCAAAUAUUUUUUUUUCAUUUUUCAUUUUUAUUUGGUCUAACUAACUCCAAAAGGUUGGAAAAGAGUUCCUACAAAGGUUUUGGACAGUGAUUUUAACCCUAACGCCAAAAACCUUAAACCUUACCAUAGCCCCAAAACUUAUACCCGGGUAUUACCUUCAGGAAGCCCGAACACCCCAAAUAUUUUUUUUUUAUUUUUUAUUUUUAUUUGGUGUAACCAACUCCAAAAGGUCUGAAACAUGUUCCUAAAUAGGUUUUGGACAGUCAUUUUAACCCUAACGCCAAAAACCUUAAACCUUCCCCUAGCCCCAAAACCUAAUACCCGGGUAUUACCUUCAGGAAUCCCGAAAACCCCAAAUAUUUUUUUUUCAUUUUUCAUUAUUUUUUGGUCUAACUAACUCCAAAAGGUUGGAAAAGAGUUCCUACAAAUGUUUUGGACAGUGAUUUAAACCCUAACGCCAAAACCUUUAACCUUACCCUAGCCCCAAAUCUUAAUACCCGGGUAUUACCUUCAGGAAGCCCAAACACCCCAAAUAUUUUUUUUUCAUUUUUCAUUUUUAUUUGGUCUAACUAACUCCCAAAGGUUGGAAAACAGUUCCUACAAAGGUUUUGGACAGUGAUUUAAACCCUAACGCCAAAACCUUAAACUUUACCCUAGCCCCAACUCUUAAUACCCGGGUAUUACCUUCAGGAAGCCCAAACACCCCAAAUAUAUUUUUUUUCAUUUUUCAUUUUUAUUUGGUCUAACUAACUCCAAAAGGUUGGAAAAGAGUUCCUACAAAGGUUUUGGACAGUGAUUUUAACCCUAACGCCAAAAACCUUAAACCUUACCAUAGCCCCAAAACUAAUACCCGGGUAUUACCUUCAGGAAGCCCAAACACCCCAAAUAUUUUUUUUUUAUUUUUUAUUUUUAUUUGGUGUAACCAACUCCAAAAGGUCUGAAACAUGUUCCUAAAUAGGUUUUGGACAGUGAUUUUAACCCUAACGCCAAAAACCUUAAACCUUCCCCUAGCCCCAAAACCUAAUACCCGGGUAUUACCUUCAGGAAUCCCGAAAACCCCAAAUAUUUUUUUUUCAUUUUUCAUUUCUUUUUGGUCUAACUAACUCCCAAAGCUUGGAAAAUAGUUCCUACAAAGGUUUUGGACAGUGAUUUUAACCCUAACGCCAAAAACCUUAAACCUUACCCUAGCCCCAAAACCUAAUACCCGUGCAUUAUCUUCAGGAAGCCAAAACAAGCCAAAUAUUUUUUUUUCAUUUUUCAUUUUUAUUUGGUCUAACUAACUCCAAAUGGUUGGAAAAGAGUUCCUACAAAGGUUUUGGACAGUGAUUUUAACCCUAACGCCAAAAACCUUAAACCUUUCCCUAGCCCCAAAACCUAAUACCCAUGUAUUAUCUUCAGGAAGCCAAAACACCCCAAAUAUUUUUUUUUCAUUUUUCAUUUUUAUUUGGUCUAACUAACUCCAAAAGGUUGGAAAACAGUUCCUACAAAGGUUUUGGACAGUGAUUUAAACCCUAACGCCAAAACCUUAAACCUUAACCUAGCCCAAACUCUUAAUACCCGGGUAUUACCUUCAGGAAGCCCAAACACCCCAAAUAUAUAUUUUUUCAUUUUUAAUUUUUAUUUGGUCUAACUAACUCCAAAAGGUUGGAAAACAGUUCCUACAAAGGUUUUGGACAGUGAUUUAAACCCUAACGCCAAAACCUUAAACCUUACCCUAGCCCCAACUUUUAAUACCCGGGUAUUACCUUCAGGAAGCCCAAACACCCCAAAUAUAUUUUUUUUCAUUUUUCAUUUUUAUUUGGUCUAACUAACUCCAAAAGGUUGGAAAAGAGUUCCUACAAAGGUUUUGGACAGUGAUUUUAACCCUAACGCCAAAAACCUUAAACCUUACCAUAGCCCCAAAACUUAUACCCGGGUAUUACCUUCAGGAAGCCCGAACACCCCAAAUAUAUUUUUUUUAUUUUUUAUUUUUAUUUGGUGUAACCAACUCCAAAAGGUCUGAAACAUGUUCCUAAAUAGGUUUUGGACAGUCAUUUUAACCCUAACGCCAAAAACCUUAAACCUUCCCCUAGCCCCAAAACCUAAUACCCGGGUAUUACCUUCAGGAAUCCCGAAAACCCCAAAUAUUUUUUUUUCAUUUUUCAUUUCUUUUUGGUCUAACUAACUCCCAAAGCUUGGAAAAUAGUUCCUACAAAGGUUUUGGACAGUGAUUUUAACCCUAACGCCAAAAACCUUAAACCUUACCCUAGCCCCAAAUCUUAAUACCCGGGUAUUACCUUCAGGAAGCCCAAACACCCCAAAUAUUUUUUUUUCAUUUUUCAUUUUUAUUUGGUCUAACUAACUCCAAAUGGUUGGAAAAGAGUUCCUACAAAGGUUUUGGACAGUGAUUUUAACCCUAACGCCAAAAACCUUAAACCUUUCCCUAGCCCCAAAACCUAAUACCCAUGUAUUAUAUUCAGGAAGCCCGAACACCACAAAUAUUUUUUUUCAUUUUUCAUUUCUUUUUGGUCUAACUAACUCCAAAAGGUUGGAAAAGAGUUCCUACAAACGUUUUGGACAGUGAUUUAAACCCUAACGCCAAAACCUUAAACCUUACCCUAGCCCCAAAUCUUAAUACCCGGGUAUUACCUUCAGGAAGCCCGAAAACCCCAAAUAUUUUUUUUUCAUUUUUCAUUUUUAUUUGGUCUAACUAACUCCAAAAGGUUGGAAAACAGUUCCUACAAAGGUUUUGGACAGUGAUUUAAACCCUAACGCCAAAACCUUAAACCUUACCCUAGCCCCAACUCUUAAUACCCGGGUAUUACCUUCAGGAAGCCCAAACACCCCAAAUAUGUAUUUUUUCAUUUUUAAUUUUUAUUUGGUCUAACUAACUCCAAAAGGUUGGAAAACAGUUCCUACAAAGGUUUUGGACAGUGAUUUAAACCCUAACGCCAAAACCUUAAACCUUACCCUAGCCCCAACUCUUAAUACCCGGGUAUUACCUUCAGGAAGCCCAAACACCCCAAAUAUUUUUUUUUUCAUUUUUCAUUUUUAUUAGGUCUAACUAACUCCAAAAGGUUGGAAAAGAGUUCCUACAAAGGUUUUGGACAGUGAUUUUAACCCUAACGCCAAAAACCUUAAACCUUACCAUAGCCCCAAAACUUAUACCCGGGUAUUACCUUCAGGAAGCCCGAACACCCCAAAUAUUUUUUUUUUAUUUUUUUUUUUUAUUUGGUGUAACCAACUCCAAAAGGUCUGAAACAUGUUCCUAAAUAGGUUUUGGACAGUCAUUUUAACCCUAACGCCAAAAACCUUAAACCUUCCCCUAGCCCAAAACCUAAUACCCGGGUAUUACCUUCAGGAAUCCCGAAAACCCCAAAUAUUUUUUUUUCAUUUUUCUUUAUUUUUUGGUCUAACUAACUCCAAAAGGUUGGAAAAGAGUUCCUACAAAGGUUUUGGACAGUGAUUUUAACCCUAACGCCAAAAACCUUAAACCUUACCAUAGCCCCAAAACUUAUACCCGGGUAUUACCUUCAGGAAGCCCGAACACCCCAAAUAUAUUUUUUUUCAUUUUUCAUUUUUAUUUGGUCUAACUAACUCCAAAAGGUUGGAAAAGAGUUCCUACAAAGGUUUUGGACAGUGAUUUUAACCCUAACGCCAAAAACCUUAAACCUUACCAUAGCCCCAAAACUUAUACCCGGGUAUUACCUUCAGGAAGCCCGAACACCCCAAAUAUAUUUUUUUUAUUUUUUUUUUUUAUUUGGUGUAACCAACUCCAAAAGGUCUGAAACAUGUUCCUAAAUAGGUUUUGGACAGUGAUUUUAACCCUAACGCCAAAAACCUUAAACCUUCCCCUAGCCCCAAAACCUAAUACCCGGGUAUUACCUUCAGGAAUCCCGAAAACCCCAAAUAUUUUUUUUUCAUUUUUCAUUUCUUUUUGGUCUAACUAACUCCCAAAGCUUGGAAAAUAGUUCCUACAAAGGUUUUGGACAGUGAUUUUAACCCUAACGCCAAAAACCUUAAACCUUACCCUAGCCCCAAAACCUAAUACCCGUGCAUUAUCUUCAGGAAGCCAAAACAAGCCAAAUAUUUUUUUUUCAUUUUUCAUUUUUAUUUGGUCUAACUAACUCCAAAUGGUUGGAAAAGAGUUCCUACAAAGGUUUUGGACAGUGAUUUUAACCCUAACGCCAAAAACCUUAAACCUUUCCCUAGCCCCAAAACCUAAUACCCAUGUAUUAUCUUCAGGAAGCCCGAACACCACAAAUAUUUUUUUUUCAUUUUUCAUUUCUUUUUGGUCUAACUAACUCCAAAAGGUUGGAAAAGAGUUCCUACAAACGUUUUGGACAGUGAUUUAAACCCUAACGCCAAAACCUUAAACCUUACCCUAGCCCCAAAUCUUAAUACCCGGGUAUUACCUUCAGGAAGCCAAAACACCCCAAAUAUUUUUUUUUCAUUUUUCAUUUUUAUUUGGUCUAACUAACUCCAAAAGGUUGGAAAACAGUUCCUACAAAGGUUUUGGACAGUGAUUUAAACCCUAACGCCAAAACCUUAAACCUUAACCUAGCCCCAACUCUUAAUACCCGGGUAUUACCUUCAGGAAGCCCAAACACCCCAAAUAUAUAUUUUUUCAUUUUUAAUUUUUAUUUGGUCUAACUAACUCCAAAAGGUUGGAAAACAGUUCCUACAAAGGUUUUGGACAGUGAUUUAAACCCUAACGCCAAAACCUUAAACCUUACCCUAGCCCCAACUUUUAAUACCCGGGUAUUACCUUCAGGAAGCCAAAACACCCCAAAUAUUUUUUUUUUCAUUUUUCAUUUUUAUUUGGUCUAACUAACUCCAAAAGGUUGGAAAAGAGUUCCUACAAAGGUUUUGGACAGUGAUUUUAACCCUAACGCCAAAAACCUUAAACCUUACCAUAGCCCCAAAACUUAAUACCCGGGUAUUACCUUCAGGAAGCCCGAACACCCCAAAUAUUUUUUUAUUUUUUAUUUUUAUUUGGUGUAACCAACUCCAAAAGGUCUGAAACAUGUUCCUAAAUAGGUUUUGGACAGUCAUUUUAACCCUAACGCCAAAAACCUUAAACCUUACCCUAGCCCCAAAACCUAAUAUUAUUAAAGUAUUACCUUCAGGAAGCCCGAAAACCCCAAAUAUUUUUUUUUCAUCUUUCUUUUUUUUGGUCUAACUAACUCCAAAAGGUUGGAAAAUAGUUCCUACAAAGGUUUUGGACAGUGAUUUUAACCCUAACGCCAAAAACCUUAAACCUUCCCCUAGCCCCUAAACCUAAUACCUGGGUAUUACCUUCAGGAAGCCCAAACACCCCAAAUAUUUUUUUUUUAUUUUUUAUUUUUAUUUGGUGUAACCAACUCCAAAAGGUCUGAAACAUGUUCCUAAAUAGGUUUUGGACAGUCAUUUUAACCCUAACGCCAAAAACCUUAAACCUUCCCCUAGCCCCAAAACCUAAUACCCGGGUAUUACCUUCAGGAAUCCCGAAAACCCCAAAUAUUUUUUUUUCAUUUUUCAUUAUUUUUUGGUCUAACUAACUCCAAAAGGUUGGAAAAGAGUUCCUACAAAUGUUUUGGACAGUGAUUUAAACCCUAACGCCAAAACCUUUAACCUUACCCUAGCCCCAAAUCUUAAUACCCGGGUAUUACCUUCAGGAAGCCCAAACACCCCAAAUAUUUUUUUUUCAUUUUUCAUUUUUAUUUGGUCUAACUAACUCCCAAAGGUUAGAAAACAGUUCCUACAAAGGUUUUGGACAGUGAUUUAAACCCUAACGCCAAAACCUUAAACCUUACCCUAGCCCCAACUCUUAAAACCCGGGUAUUACCUUCAGGAAGCCCAAACACCCCAAAUAUAUUUUUUUUCAUUUUUCAUUUUUAUUUGGUGUAACUAACUCCAAAAGGUUGGAAAAGAGUUCCUACAAAGGUUUUGGACAGUGAUUUAAACCCUAACGCCAAAACCUUAAACCUUACCAUAGCCCCAAAACUUAUACCCGGGUAUUACCUUCAGGAGGCCCGAACACCCCAAAUAUAUUUUUUUUAUUUUUUAUUUUUAUUUGGUGUAACCAACUCCAAAAGGUCUGAAACAUGUUCCUAAAUAGGUUUUGGACAGUCAUUUUAACCCUAACGCCAAAAACCUUAAACCUUCCCCUAGCCCCAAAACCUAAUACCCGGGUAUUACCUUCAGGAAUCCCGAAAACCCCAAAUAUUUUUUUUUCAUUUUUCAUUUCUUUUUGGUCUAACUAACUCCCAAAGCUUGGAAAAUAGUUCCUACAAAGGUUUUGGACAGUGAUUUAAACCCUAACGCCAAAAACCUUAAACCUUACCCUAGCCCCAAAACCUAAUACCCGUGCAUUAUCUUCAGGAAGCCAAAACAAGCCAAAUAUUUUUUUUUCAUUUUUCAUUUUUAUUUGGUCUAACUAACUCCAAAUGGUUGGAAAAGAGUUCCUACAAAGGUUUUGGACAGUGAUUUUAACCCUAACGCCAAAAACCUUAAACCUUUCCCUAGCCCCAAAACCUAAUACCCAUGUAUUAUCUUCAGGAAGCCCGAACACCACAAAUAUUUUUUUUUCAUUUUUCAUUUCUUUUUGGUCUAACUAACUCCAAAAGGUUGGAAAAGAGUUCCUACAAACGUUUUGGACAGUGAUUUAAACCCUAACGCCAAAACCUUAAACCUUACCCUAGUCCCAAAUCUUAAUACCCGGGUAUAACCUUCAGGAAACCAAAACACCCCAAAUAUUUUUUUUUCAUUUUUCAUUUUUAUUUGGUCUAACUAACUCCAAAAGGUUGGAAAACAGUUCCUACAAAGGUUUUGGACAGUGAUUUAAACCCUAACGCCAAAACCUUAAACCUUAACCUACCCCCAACUCUUAAUACCCGGGUAUUACCUUCAGGAAGCCCAAACACCCCAAAUAUAUAUUUUUUCAUUUUUAAUUUUUAUUUGGUCUAACUAACUCCAAAAGGUUGGAAAACAGUUCCUACAAAGGUUUUGGACAGUGAUUUAAACCCUAACGCCAAAACCUUAAACCUUACCCUAGCCCCAACUCUUAAUACCCGGGUAUUACCUUCAGGAAGCCAAAACACCCCAAAUAUUUUUUUUUUUCAUUUUUCAUUUUUAUUUGGUCUAACUAACUCCAAAAGGUUGGAAAAGAGUUCCUACAAAGGUUUUGGACAGUGAUUUUAACCCUAACGCCAAAAACCUUAAACCUUACCAUAGCCCCAAAACUUAUACCCGGGUAUUACCUUCAGGAAGCCCGAACACCCCAAAUAUUUUUUUUUUAUUUUUUAUUUUUAUUUGGUGUAACCAACUCCAAAAGGUCUGAAACAUGUUCCUAAAUAGGUUUUGGACAGUCAUUUUAACCCUAACGCCAAAAACCUUAAACCUUACCCUAGCCCCAAAACCUAAUACCCGUGCAUUAUCUUCAGGAAGCCAAAACAAGCCAAAUAUUUUUUUUUCAUUUUUCAUUUUUAUUUGGUCUAACUAACUCCAAAUGGUUGGAAAAGAGUUCCUACAAAGGUUUUGGACAGUGAUUUUAACCCUAACGCCAAAAACCUUAAACCUUUCCCUAGCCCCAAAACCUAAUACCCAUGUAUUAUCUUCAGGAAGCCCGAACACCACAAAUAUUUUUUUUUCAUUUUUCAUUUCUUUUUGGUCUAACUAACUCCAAAAGCUUGGAAAAUAGUUCCUACAAACGUUUUGGACAGUGAUUUAAACCCUUACGCCAUAACCUUAAACCUUACCCCAGCCCCAAAUCUUAAUACCCGGGUAUUACCUUCAGGAAGCCCAAACACCCCAAAUAUUUUUUUUUCAUUUUUCAUUUCUUUUUGGUCUAACUAACUCCAAAAGGUUGGAAAACAGUUCCUGCAAACGUUUUGGACAGUGAUUUAAACCCUUUCGCCAAAACCUUAAACCUUACCCCAGCCCCAAAUAUUACCUUCAGGAAGCCCAAACACCCCAAAUAUUUUUUUUUCAUUUUUCAUUUUUAUUUGGUCUAACUAACUCCAAAAGCUUGGAAAAUAGUUCCUACAAACGUUUUGGACAGUGAUUUAAACCCUAACGCCAAAACCUUAAACCUUACCCCAGCCCCAAAUCUUAAUAACCGGGUAUUACCUUCAGGAAGCCCAAACACCCCAAAUAUUUUUUUUUCAUUUUUCAUUUUUAUUUGGUCUAACUAAAACCAAAUGGUUGGAAAAGAGUUCCUACAAAGGUUUUGGACAGUGAUUUUAACCCUAACGCCAAAAACCUUAAACCUUCCCCUAGCCCCAAAACCUAAUACCCGGGUAUUACCUUCAGGAAGCCCGAAAACCCCAAAUAUUUUUUUUUCAUUUUUCAUUUCUUUUUGGUCUAACUAACUCCCAAAGCUUGGAAAAUAGUUCCUACAAAGUUUUUGGACAGUGAUUUUAACCCUAACGCCAAAAACCUUAAACCUUACCCUAGCCCCAAAACCUAAUACCCGUGCAUUAUCUUCAGGAAGCCCAAACAAGCCAAAUAUCUUUUUUUCAUUUUUCAUUUUUAUUUGGUCUAACUAACUCCAAAUGGUUGGAAAAGAGUUCCUACAAAGGUUUUGGACAGUGAUUUUAACCCUAACGCCAAAAACCUUAAACCUUUCCCUAGCCCCAAAACCUAAUACCCGUGUAUUACCUUCAGGAAGCCCAAACACCCCAAAUAUUUUUUUUUCAUUUUUCAUUUUUAUUUGGUCUAACUAACUCCCAAAGGUUGGAAAACAGUUCCUACAAAGGUUUUGGACAGUGAUUUAAACCCUAACGCCAAAACCUUAAACCUUACCCUAGCCCCAACUCUUAAUACCUGUGCAUUAUCUUCAGGAAGCCCAAACACCCCAAAUAUUUUUUUUUUCAUUUUUCAUUUUUAUUUGGUCUAACUAACUCCAAAAGGUUGGAAAAGAGUUCCUACAAAGGUUUUGGACAGUGAUUUUAACCCUAACGCCAAAAACCUUAAACCUUACCAUCGCCCCAAAACUCCUGGGUAUUACCUUCAGGAAGCCUGAACACCCCAAAUAUUUUUUUUCAAUUUUUUUAUUUCAUUUGGUGUAACCAACUCCAAAAGGUCUGAAACAUGUUCCUAAAUAGGUUUUGGACAGUCAUUUUAACCCUAACGCCAAAAACCUAAAACCUUCCCCUAGCCCCAAAACCUAAUACCCGGGUAUUACCUUCAGGAAGCCCGAAAACCCCAAAUAUUUUUUUUUCAUUUUUCAUUUCUUUUUGGUCUAACUAACUCCCAAAGCUUGGAAAAUAGUUCCUACAAAGGUUUUGGACAGUGAUUUUAACCCUAACGCCAAAAACCUUAAACCUUACCCUAGCCCCAAAACCUAAUACCCGUGCAUUAUCUUCAGGAAGCCAAAACAAGCAAAAUAUUUUUUUUUCAUUUUUCAUUUUUAUUUGGUCUAACUAACUCCAAAUGGUUGGAAAAGAGUUCCUACAAAGGUUUUGGACAGUGAUUUUAACCCUAACGCCAAAAACCUUAAACCUUUCCCUAGCCCCAAAAUCUAAUACCCGUGUAUUAUCUUCAGGAAGCCCGAACACCACAAAUAUUUUUUUUUCAUUUUUCAUUUCUUUUUGGUCUAACUAACUCCAAAAGCUUGGAAAAUAGUUCCUACAAACGUUUUGGACAGUGAUUUAAAUCCUAACGCCAAAACCUUAAACCUUACCCUAGCACCAAAUCUUAAUACCCAGGUAUUACCUUCAGGAAGCCCAAACACCCCAAAUAUUUUUUUUUCAUUUUUCAUUUUUAAUUUGGUCUAACUAACUCCAAAAGGUUGGAAAACAGUUCCUACAAAGGUUUUGGACAGUGAUUUAAACCCUAACGCCAAAACCUUAAACCUUACCCUAGCCCCAAGUCUUAAUACCCGGGUAUUACCUUCAGGAAGCCCCAACACCCCAAAUAUAUUUUUUUUCAUUUUUCAUUUUUAUUUGGUCUAACUCCAAAAGGUUGGAAAAGAGAUCCUACAAAGGUUUUGGACAGUGAUUUUAACCCUAACGCCCAAAACCUUAAACCUUACCAUAGCCCCAUAACCUAAUACCCGGGUAUUACCUUCAGGAAGCCCGAACACCCCAAAUAUUUUUUUUUCAUUUUUCUUUUUUUUUGGUCUAACUAACUCCAAAAGCUUGGAAAAGAGAUCCUACAAAGGUUUUGGACAGUGAUUUUAACCCUAACGCCAAAAACCUUAAACCUUACCAUAGCCCCAUAACCUAAUACCCGUGCA